This 461-nucleotide ribosomal RNA is filed under the name uncultured bacterium. Its description in RNAcentral is "bacterial SSU rRNA". It matches the Rfam family "Bacterial small subunit ribosomal RNA", at positions 29 to 507 of the family's 1533-position model. The record is from RNAcentral.
AAUGAACGUUGGCGGCGUGGAUUAGGCAUGCAAGUCGAGCGCUCAUAGCAAUAUGGGAGCGGCGAACGGCGUAGGAAUUCAUAGGAACGUACCCUCAGGACGGGGAUAGCUACGGGAAACUGUAGGUAAUACCCGAUGAUCUCCGCGGAGCAAAGGUGUGAUUCCGCCUGAGGAGCGGCUUAUGCGAUAUUAGCUAGUUGGUGGGGUAAUGGCCUACCAAGGCGACGAUGUCUAGGGGGGUGUGAGAGCAUGGCCCCCACGACCGGAACUGAGAUACUGUCCGGACACCUACGGGUGGCUGCAGUCGAGAAUCUUCCGCAAUGGACGAAAGUCUGACGGAGCGACGCCGCGUGCGGGAUGAAGGCCCUUGGGUUGUAAACCGCUUUCGGAGGGGAUGAAAUCCUCGAGGGUUCUCCCUCGAGGUUGACAGAGCCUCAAAAGAAGCACGGGCUAAGUACGUG